Long non-coding RNA from Acipenser ruthenus (sterlet), 2447 nucleotides. RefSeq lists it as uncharacterized. The transcript has 5 exons. NCBI's taxonomy places the organism in Eukaryota, Metazoa, Chordata, Actinopteri, Acipenseriformes, Acipenseridae. The record is from RefSeq and is a predicted model, not a curated record.
GUCUAAUUGGGGCCUCCCAUUGCUUUCAAUGGGACGAAAAUUGUAUAAAAACCCUGAGCCGAUCACACUGAGACCACCACAAUCAAGACUCAGCUUGGCAGAGCUACGUGGUCCAUCCUUUGCAGGUCUUCACAAGGCAGUCCUUCUCUUUUGUUCACACUACUCUCCCUUAUAAUAGGAGAGUGGAAACUUGAGCCAGAUUUGUGCAGAGCUGCUAAUCUAUACAGAAGGCUGUUACUUCAUAACAGUGAAAAUGAGAGCUGGUUGUAUAUUCGAGUGGAUUUGAGACAGAGUCCGGAAGACCGUGAAAGGGCCAUCUUGGCUUUCUACAAAAGGCCAAAUGUACAAUGGGCAAGCCCCUUAUCAGUAUAUCUUGAAGGUAUGCUUUUUUCCCAUCCAUUUUGUGUAAUGUCCAGAUUCCUUGUGGAGAGUGCCAUUUUCCAAGCAGUGGGCCACAUGACUGAUCAUUGCUUUCUGCAUGUGGGUCCACCGCUAACAGGAUUGAGUCCAGCUGUGGUGUGCAUAUUAACUGGCGGUGAGGAAGAAUGUGCUCCUCUGCACAAGACUGCCUUGAUAUGGAUGUACGUGAAGUAGUGGAAAUGCUGGACAGCCAAAAGGAGCUUACACAGGAAGAUAAGGACAAAAUGUCUGACAUUAUUUUGAACUGGGAUCUUCCACCUGUCACUCAAGAAAACAGACGAUGGCUGGCAGAAAAAAUCCUCCUUCAUGCAAAUUGCCUGACCUUCAUCCUCCACUUCAGACAGUGAAGAUGAGACUGAGUGUAGCAUCGAUAGCAAGUGUCGUGUUGCUAGCUUUUUUCGACAAUUCAUUGAAAAUGCCUCAUCUGCAGAGCUGAGUGACCUCCUAAAAUUCUGGAUAGGAUGGGCAAUUUAACCGCAACAUCUUAAUGUGGAGGUGACCAGUGACAUAAAGAUGUCUACAGCGGCUACAUGUAUGGAAACUAUCAAGCUACCUGGGCAUUACACAGAAUAUUCACAUUUUUCCACUGACCUCAAAUCUGCUGUUUGCACUACGGAUAGUGGAUUUGGACUUGUGUAAGGCUGUAUUCACUAUAGGUGAAGUAUUAAACAAGCAGAAAAACAUGUAUGCAUUGAAAUGCUCCCUGAUUUAACUAAUUGUGUUAAUUGGACCAAUUGAACUACUCUUCCCAGUUCUGAAGGUUUUGGUCGGUGUUGGAGACCUGCAGGACUACAGGCCUCCAGGACCAAGAUUGGGGUCGACUGCUCAAUUUAACCUACCACUGUGAAUAAUAACAAUAAUAACUUGAACUGCAAAGCAGUUUUACAGCUUCCAAGCAAGUAACAUUGUUAUUAUACUAUACUGUAGCAAAGCAAUGUGCAAGAAAGUUUUUUCCAUUUUUUUUUUAACUUAUCAGGCAGUCAUUGGUUUAAGGAGGAAGAAUAUUUUUAUUUUUUUCCGUUUUAAUUCUAUUGUCCCCAAGAUAAUUAUUACAAAGUUUGGCUACACAGUUUUUGGUUAGAAGCAGGUAGUGACUAGUUGUUGCAAAAUGUGUGGCAGCUUUUUUUUAUUUUAGAAUGUAUCAAAGCAACUUAUGCUUUGCAAACUUGAACCAUGUUUGGUUGUUAAUAUUUAGCAAGUUUCAAAUGAAUGGCAUCACUUGUUUCCAAGAAGAUUUUAAAUUAUUACUUUUUUUGUCAGGUGGCCAUUGGUUUAGGUACAUGUUAAUUAUACAAUCACACGGUGAUGAUGCUUUUGAAGUUUGAAUUCACCUAAACCAUUUUUCAGACCUGAUGCAUGUUGGUUUGAUGUCUGCCAACUUUUAGAUCAGUCCCUCCACCUGUUCUUGAGAAGUUUUGAAAGUUUUUUUUUUUUUUUUUUUUUUUUGUUAAUCACAUCAGGCAGCCAUCUUGGAACAUUGUGAUUGUUUUUACACAGGGUUGCAUUCAAUCACCUAAACCGUUUUUCAACUUAAGUGGGGUUAAGUUUGAGAAGAAAAUGCAUCUGUGGCGGCAAUCUUGUUUUAUGGAUGAACACCAAAAAAAAAAGUUGUACCUGUAAAUAAAUCAAUACAACAAAUGUAAACUAAAGAAAAGUAGUUUUGCUAUUGUGUCCUUGUGUCAGUUGUUACACUGAAACCUUAAAAUGGCCAUUUGUUACAAUAAGUAAUUCUUCAUAUUGUCACUGUGCAUAUUAGUUACAGCCAUUGCUUGAACUGAAGUAUGUAACCUGUGGAGAUAUUUUUAAACACAGGAAAAACAGGGUUUGGUGUAAAGCUACUGUAUCAAGACUCAUCCCAACCUUUUUAUUCAUUAACUUUAAAAUGUGAACAACAGAAAAAAAAGACUUUGUUCCAAGACCAUGGUCCCUAUAUAAAAAAAUGCAAUGCUUGUAUAAACCCAAACAGUACACCUUAUAAAAAAAUAAAAAUAGUAGCAAGAAAUCACAGGUGUGAUAAGAAAUCUGCU